GAUGAACGCUGGCGGCGUGCCUAACACAUGCAAGUCGAACGAAGCACCUUACCUGAUUCUUCGGAUGAAAGUUUGGUGACUGAGUGGCGGACGGGUGAGUAACGCGUGGGUAACCUGCCCUGUACAGGGGGAUAACAGCUGGAAACGGCUGCUAAUACCGCAUAAGCGCACGAGGAGACAUCUCCUUGUGUGAAAAACUCCGGUGGUACAGGAUGGGCCCGCGUCUGAUUAGCUGGUUGGCAGGGUAACGGCCUACCAAGGCAACGAUCAGUAGCCGGCUGGGAAGGAGGACCGGCAACAUUGGAACUGAGACACGGCCAAAACUCCUACGGAAGGCGGCAGUGGGGAAUAUUGCACAAUGGGGGAAACCCGGAGGCGGCACGGCCGGGUGAGUGAAGAGGUAUUUCGGUGGGUAAGCUCUAUCAGCAGGGAAGAUAAUGACGGUACCUGACUAAGAAGCUCCGGCUAAAUACGUG
RNAcentral lists this ribosomal RNA (476 nucleotides) under uncultured bacterium. RNAcentral describes it as "partial 16S ribosomal RNA". It matches the Rfam family "Bacterial small subunit ribosomal RNA", at positions 28 to 507 of the family's 1533-position model. The record is from RNAcentral.